RNAcentral lists this ribosomal RNA (258 nucleotides) under uncultured bacterium. RNAcentral's name for it is "partial 16S ribosomal RNA". It matches the Rfam family "Bacterial small subunit ribosomal RNA", at positions 793 to 1050 of the family's 1533-position model. The record is from RNAcentral.
GUCCACGCCGUAAACGAUGUCUACUAGUUGUCGGUUGUCUUGUACGACUGGUAACGCAGCUAACGCGAUAAGUAGACCGCCUGGGGAGUACGGCCGCAAGGUUAAAACUCAAAUGAAUUGACGGGGGCCCGCACAAGCGGUGGAGCAUGUGGUUUAAUUCGAAGCAACGCGAAGAACCUUACCUGGCCUUGACAUCCUGCGAACUUUCUAGAGAUAGAUUGGUGCCUUCGGGAACGCAGAGACAGGUGCUGCAUGGCU